This 240-nucleotide unclassified non-coding RNA is filed under the name Hevea brasiliensis (rubber tree). The record is from RNAcentral. Lineage: Eukaryota; Viridiplantae; Streptophyta; Magnoliopsida; Malpighiales; Euphorbiaceae.
GGUCUGGUCUGAAUUCAGGCCCGGUCCGAUCAAGGGCAAUGAAUCAUUACAAUUAAUCAAGCGAGCAAAUUGUUAUUUCUUGUGUUUUGAGAAUAGUUUUUGAAUUGUGCCAUGUAAAUGAUUUUGGCCUUAUUCCAUUAAGAUUUUGUUUAAAAAAAAUAUAUUAAUUAUAGUUUUGUAUGUUAUUCUAAUGGAGAUUAAAUAUUUCAGUAAAAAAAAAAAGAUGUAGAGUUUGCCUUC